UGAUUUAUUUAUGAAAAUGUAUGUGAUAAACAAUUUCUAAGAGAAACUGGAGCGCGCACUCUGAAAUCUCCAUUGAAGCAGCUCUUGAGUUGCCAGAUUUGCCAAAAAAAUGAUGUAAUUACAGGCUGUAAGACUUUCAUAUUAUGUAUUUUCAUACAAAAUUGAAGGAGAUAAAAUUGUUUCAUUUCCGAGUAGAGUGGAUUCCGGUUGCUGCAGAGUCUCGUCCGAAAUCAAUCUGGCUAUGCUGUUUAUGCUUGGCCUGCCACUGAUGGCUUGCUUUCUAAAAGGGAUAAUAAACAUCAACCAAUGUUGAAAUAGUCAUCAAAUAACCUUUGAUGAUUGUUGGUUAUUGUUUACUUGAAUGGAAGUGUAAAAUGGACAUAAAGAUUUGCAGCAUUGUUGUCUUAUUUUAUGUUAUUUUGUUCCGCCUCUAAUUGAUCACACUGCAAGCUUAUCUCACCAUCAUUAUCCUUUAGAGGUUUGGAAAAGAAGCUAUGAUCUAUAUGCAUAUCUUGGUGGUGUUUUGUGCAUUUUGGAGAAGAAUCGGAUCAAUUGAUGUUGUCAAUGGCUUGAAAUUCCCUAGCAUAUUGCCAUAUUGGAAUGUUCCAAUCAUGAGCACAAAAUGUCUGAUAUGCAUCUUAAGCUUGACCGAAGUACCAUAUAUUGGAGGAUGCGGUGGAAACUUAGAAGAUCUGUGGCAAGUGGUGCUAAAAUAUUAACUACUUAGAGUUUAAGCUGACUAAUAAGACUGUUGAUCUCUGGUGAGGUUGAUUCGAAGCUUGGAAGGCUUAGAUUAGAAUGACAUAGAAGAGGUUUGAAACCAUGGAAAACAAGUAAUACUUCCUCUGUUCACUUUUAAUUGCAACUCUUCUUUCAAGUUAUUGCUGAAUAUAAAAAAAGGUGAAUUAUGAGUAGGUGUCACUUGACGAUGUGUUGAUGACUUGAUGUCUGCUUGAGCUUCCUGCUUUUAGUAUAAAUAAAGUUUAUUUUGGUUUAGAUUGUGGGUUUGUGGUCCUGCCAAUCUUGUGGAGUUGUAGAGAACAGGCUAUUCCAAGAAUAUUUACAUUACAUGUCCAUUGAGGAAGUUAUAAGUAGCCUUCAAAAUUGUAUUAUUAAGUAAUAUCACUUUCGAAAUUGCUGGCCUAUUUGGGUGGCUUA
Molecule: long non-coding RNA, 1158 nt
Organism: Chenopodium quinoa (quinoa)
Lineage: Eukaryota; Viridiplantae; Streptophyta; Magnoliopsida; Caryophyllales; Amaranthaceae
Exons: 4
Source: RefSeq, a predicted model, not a curated record